RNAcentral lists this ribosomal RNA (253 nucleotides) under uncultured bacterium. RNAcentral describes it as "partial 16S ribosomal RNA". It matches the Rfam family "Bacterial small subunit ribosomal RNA", at positions 524 to 776 of the family's 1533-position model. The record is from RNAcentral.
UACGUAGGGUCCGAGCGUUGUCCGGAAUUACUGGGCGUAAAGAGCUCGUAGGUGGUUUGUCGCGUUGUUCGUGAAAACUCACAGCUCAACUGUGGGCGUGCGGGCGAUACGGGCAGACUUGAGUACUGCAGGGGAGACUGGAAUUCCUGGUGUAGCGGUGGAAUGCGCAGAUAUUCGGAGGAACACCAGUAGCGAAGGCGGCUCGCUGGGCCACACCUGACGCUGAGACGCGAAAGCAUGGGGAGCGAACAGG